AAACUUUUAGUAUAUUUAGUAUUUUUAAUUGCAAAUUAAAAGGUAAGAAGUUUU
RNAcentral lists this transfer RNA (54 nucleotides) under Ancylostoma duodenale. Its description in RNAcentral is "tRNA-Cys". Lineage: Eukaryota; Metazoa; Nematoda; Chromadorea; Rhabditida; Ancylostomatidae. The record is from RNAcentral.